ACGAACGCUGGCGGCGUGCUUAACACAUGCAAGUCGAACGGGCCUUGUCCCCUUUUUUUUGGGGGUGGGGUUAGUGGCGAACGGGUGAGUAACACGUGAGUAACCUGCCCCUCACUUCUGGAUAACCGCUUGAAAGGGUGGCUAAUACGGGGUGUUCUGGCCUGCUCGCAUGGGUGGGUUUGGAAAGAUUCGACCGGUUUUGGUUGUUUUGGUGGGGGAUGGGCUCGCGGCCUAUCAGCUUGUUGGUGGGGUGAUGGCCUGCCAAGGCUUUGACGGGUAGCCGGCCUGAGAGGGUGGGCGGUCACACUGGGACUGAGACACGGCCCAGACUCCUACGGGAGGCAGCAGUGGGGAAUAUUGCACGAUGGGCGCAAGCCUGAUGCAGCGACGCCGCGUGAGGGAUGGAGGCCUUCGGGUUGUGAACCUCUUUCGCCAGUGAAGAAGGUCCUGCUCUUUGUGGUGGGGUUGACGGUAGCUGGGUUAAUGAAGCGCCGGCUAACUACGUG
Molecule: ribosomal RNA, 506 nt
Filed under: uncultured bacterium
Lineage: Bacteria
Description: partial 16S ribosomal RNA
Rfam family: Bacterial small subunit ribosomal RNA
Source: RNAcentral